UGGGGAAUAUUGCACAAUGGACGGAAGUUUGAUGCAGCGACGCCGCGUGGAGGGUGUAGGCCUUCGGGUUGUGAACUCCUUUUUCUCGCGAAAAAGGCACAGUUUUGGCUGUGUUGAUGGUAGUGGGGGAAGAAGCGCCGGCUAACUACGUGCCAGCAGCCGCGGUAAUACGUAGGGCGCGAGCGUUGUCCGGAUUUAUUGGGCGUAAAGAGCUCGUAGGUGGUUCGUCGCGUCAGUCGUGAAAGCCAGCAGCUUAACUGUUGGUCUGCGGUGGGUACGGGCGGGCUUGAGUGCGGUAGGGGUGACUGGAAUUCCUGGUGUAGCGGUGGAAUGCGCAGAUAUCAGGAGGAACACCGAUGGCGAAGGCAGGUCACUGGGCCGUUACUGACACUGAGGAGCGAAAGCGUGGGGAGCGAACAGG
Molecule: ribosomal RNA, 421 nt
Filed under: Fusobacteriota bacterium
Lineage: Bacteria; Fusobacteriati; Fusobacteriota
Description: Fusobacteria bacterium partial 16S ribosomal RNA
Rfam family: Bacterial small subunit ribosomal RNA
Source: RNAcentral